GUAAUGAAUAAUGAAAGAGAUGGAUGAUGCCCUAAGGCGGAAGAGGAAUAAUUAGAAGUAUGCUCGCCAAGGAUUCGCAUCCUCGUGCCUACGUAUUCUCAUCGUGCAAUGAGAAAGUCAGAGCAAUCAUAGUUCGGAACCACGAGAAUAGGAAGAGAGAGACAUACAGUGAUGAAGAGUAUGAAUUAUACCAACAUAAUGGUAUCAAGGGAACCCACAAAUGGGUGGAACUUGGAAUCAAAGAGUAAACAAGCCUCUCAGCCAAAGGAAUGAAUUGAAUGUCUUGAUACGAGCCAAACAAC
Molecule: long non-coding RNA, 302 nt
Filed under: Lathyrus oleraceus (garden pea)
Lineage: Eukaryota; Viridiplantae; Streptophyta; Magnoliopsida; Fabales; Fabaceae
Description: Pisum sativum (pea) long non-coding RNA (PSAT_LNC019989)
Source: RNAcentral